This 473-nucleotide ribosomal RNA is filed under the name uncultured bacterium. RNAcentral's name for it is "bacterial SSU rRNA". It matches the Rfam family "Bacterial small subunit ribosomal RNA", at positions 328 to 793 of the family's 1533-position model. The record is from RNAcentral.
GACUGACACUCCUACGGGAGGCAGCAGUGGGGAAUAUUGCACAAUGGGGGAAACCCUGAUGCAGCCAUGCCGCGUGUGUGAAGAAGGCCUUCGGGUUGUAAAGCACUUUCAGUAGGGAGGAAGGUAGUGUAGUUAACACCUGCACUAUUUGACGUUACCUACAGAAGAAGCACCGGCUAACUCCGUGCCAGCAGCCGCGGUAAUACGGAGGGUGCGAGCGUUAAUCGGAAUUACUGGGCGUAAAGCGCAUGCAGGCGGCCUGUUAAGUCAGAUGUGAAAGCCCCGGGGCUUAACCUCGGAAUUGCAUUUGAAACUGGCAGGCUAGAGUCUUGUAGAGGGGGUAGAAUUUCAGGUGUAGCGGUGAAAUGCGUAGAGAUCUGAAGGAAUACCAGUGGCGAAGGCGGCCCCCUGGACAAAGACUGACGCUCAGAUGCGAAAGCGUGGGGAGCAAACAGGAUUAGAUACCCUGGUAG